This 73-nucleotide transfer RNA is filed under the name Paramuricea clavata. It matches the Rfam family "tRNA". From Rfam's summary of the family: Transfer RNA (tRNA) molecules are approximately 80 nucleotides in length. Their secondary structure includes four short double-helical elements and three loops (D, anti-codon, and T loops). Further hydrogen bonds mediate the characteristic L-shaped molecular structure. tRNAs have two regions of fundamental functional importance: the anti-codon, which is responsible for specific mRNA codon recognition, and the 3' end, to which the tRNAs corresponding amino acid is attached (by aminoacyl-tRNA synthetases). tRNAs cope with the degeneracy of the genetic code in two manners: having more than one tRNA (with a specific anti-codon) for a particular amino acid; and 'wobble' base-pairing, i.e. permitting non-standard base-pairing at the 3rd anti-codon position. Lineage: Eukaryota; Metazoa; Cnidaria; Anthozoa; Malacalcyonacea; Plexauridae. The record is from Rfam by way of RNAcentral.
GACCGCGUAGUUCAGUUGGCAGAGCAUUGGGCUAGUAUUCCAUAGGUCGUAGGUUCGAUUCCCACCGUGGCCA